UGGGGAAUAUUGGACAAUGGGCGCAAGCCUGAUCCAGCCAUGCCGCGUGAGUGAUGAAGGCCCUAGGGUUGUAAAGCUCUUUCACCGGGGAAGAUAAUGACGGUAACCGGAGAAGAAGCCCCGGCUAACUUCGUGCCAGCAGCCGCGGUAAUACGAAGGGGGCUAGCGUUGUUCGGAUUUACUGGGCGUAAAGCGCGCGUAGGCGGACUUUUAAGUCAGGGGUGAAAUCCCGGGGCUCAACCUCGGGACUGCCUUUGAUACUGGCAGUCUUGAGUAUGGUAGAGGUGAGUUGAAUUCCGAGUGUAGCGGUGAAAUUCGUAGAUAUUCGGAGGAACACCAGUGGCGAAGGCGGCUCUCUGGACCAUUACUGACGCUGAGGUGCGAAAGCGUGGGGAGCAAACAGG
This 404-nucleotide ribosomal RNA is filed under the name Verrucomicrobiota bacterium. RNAcentral's name for it is "Verrucomicrobia bacterium partial 16S ribosomal RNA". It matches the Rfam family "Bacterial small subunit ribosomal RNA", at positions 355 to 776 of the family's 1533-position model. The record is from RNAcentral. Lineage: Bacteria; Pseudomonadati; Verrucomicrobiota.